GACGAACGCUGGCGGCGUGCCUAAUACAUGCAAGUUGAGCGAUGAAGAUUGGUGCUUGCACCAAUUUGAAGAGCAGCGAACGGGUGAGUAACGCGUGGGGAAUCUGCCUUUGAGCGGGGGACAACAUUUGGAAACGAAUGCUAAUACCGCAUAAUAACUUUAAACAUAAGUUUUAAGUUUGAAAGAUGCAAUUGCAUCACUCAAAGAUGAUCCCGCGUUGUAUUAGCUAGUUGGUGAGGUAAAGGCUCACCAAGGCGAUGAUACAUAGCCGACCUGAGAGGGUGAUAGGCCACAUUGGGACUGAGACACGGCCCAAACUCCUACGGGAGGCAGCAGUAGGGAAUCUUCGGCAAUGGACGAAAGUCUGACCGAGCAACGCCGCGUGAGUGAAGAAGGUUGUCGGAUCGUAAAACUCUGUUGGUAGAGAAGAACGUUGGUGAGAGUGGAAAGCUCAUCAAGUGACGGUAACUACCCAGAAAGGGACGGCUAACUACGUG
Molecule: ribosomal RNA, 497 nt
Filed under: uncultured bacterium
Lineage: Bacteria
Description: partial 16S ribosomal RNA
Rfam family: Bacterial small subunit ribosomal RNA
Source: RNAcentral